RNAcentral lists this ribosomal RNA (253 nucleotides) under uncultured bacterium. RNAcentral's name for it is "partial 16S ribosomal RNA". It matches the Rfam family "Bacterial small subunit ribosomal RNA", at positions 524 to 776 of the family's 1533-position model. The record is from RNAcentral.
UACGUAGGGGGCAAGCGUUGUCCGGAUUUAUUGGGCGUAAAGAGCGUGUAGGCGGCUAGGUAGGUCCGUUGUGAAAACUCGAGGCUCAACCUCGAGACGCCGGUGGAAACCAUCUAGCUAGAGUCCGGAAGAGGAGAAUGGAAUUCCUGGUGUAGCGGUGAAAUGCGCAGAUAUCAGGAAGAACACCCGUGGCGAAGGCGGUUCUCUGGGACGGUACUGACGCUGAGACGCGAAAGCGUGGGGAGCGAACAGG